This is a non-coding RNA of Piliocolobus tephrosceles (Ugandan red Colobus), 820 nucleotides long. NCBI's taxonomy places the organism in Eukaryota, Metazoa, Chordata, Mammalia, Primates, Cercopithecidae. The record is from the annotation of a RefSeq genome assembly.
AUGGAGACAGUGGUCACAACUCUCCCCCGGAGAAGGCGGUGUGGGGCCAUCACUGAAGAUGCUGUUGCUUCUGCUGCUUCUGGGGACAGCGGGCUCCGGGCUUGGUGCUGUCAUCUCUCAAUCUCCGAGCAGGGUUAUCUGUAAGAGAGGAACCUCUGUGAAGAUCGAGUGCCGUUGCCUGGACUUUCAGGCCACAACUAUGUUUUGGUAUCGUCAGUUCCGGAAACAGAGCCUCAUACUCAUGGCAACUUCCAAUGAGGGCUCCAGUGUCACAUACGAGCAAGGCAUCAAGAAGGACAAGUUUCCCAUCAACCAUCCAAACCUGACCUUCUCCACUCUGACAGUGACCAAUGCCCAUCCUGAAGACAGCAGCUUCUACCUCUGCAGUGCUAGAGACACAGCACCAGAAAGGGAUCAGAGACCGCGGCAAGAACCCCCUGCAGCUGCCCCUCUGCCCCAGCAGGUCCCCUGAGUGCUGAGAGGGGAGGCAUGGAGAUGGAAAACCACAGCUUUCCUGACUGAGACAUCUGGGUGUGUGUGUGUAGGGGGUGGGGCGGGGUGGGGAGAGAGAAGGAAAAGAAGCCCUGUGAGUGUGGAGUGUGGAGGAGCUGUAAUGUUUGAGACCCAUGAAAUGGCCAUAGAGUUGGGCCUAAAGUGGUCAGUGGACACGGAAGCUUCCCUGAAAAUUAUAAAACCUGGAAUUUUGCCCUGACUCUGCCACAUUAGUCAUGUGUUCUUGAAUAGAUCUACACACAAUCCUAGAGGUAGAUAUGAAGACAGUUGUAUAAUCACUGCGUAUUUCCUAUAAUAAACUUCAGCG